This 855-nucleotide ribosomal RNA is filed under the name uncultured bacterium. RNAcentral's name for it is "bacterial SSU rRNA". It matches the Rfam family "Bacterial small subunit ribosomal RNA", at positions 639 to 1501 of the family's 1533-position model. The record is from RNAcentral.
AGCUAGAGUGUGGGAGAGGAAGAUGGAAUUAGUUGUGUAGGGGUAAAAUCCGUAGAGAUAACUAGGAAUACCAAAAGCGAAGGUAAUCUCUGGAACACUACUGACGCUGAGGCGCGAAAGCGUGGGGAGCAAACAGGAUUAGAUACCCUGGUAGUCCACGCAGUAAACGAUGAAUGUUAGUCGUCGGGUAGCUAGUCUAUUCGGUGAUGCAGCUAACGCAUUAAACAUUCCGCCUGGGGAGUACGGUCGCAAGAUUAAAACUCAAAGGAAUAGACGGGGACCCGCACAAGUGGUGGAGCAUGUGGUUUAAUUCGAAGAUACGCGAAGAACCUUACCUAGCCUUGACAUAUUUUAGAACUCACCAGAGAUGGAGAGGUGCCUGCGGGAGCUAAUUUACAGGUGCUGCACGGCUGUCGUCAGCUCGUGUCGUGAGAUGUUGGGUUAAGUCCCGCAACGAGCGCAACCCUCGUCACUAGUUACUAACGGUUCGGCCGAGGACUCUAGUGAGACUGCCUUCGUAAGGAGGAGGAAGGUGAGGACGACGUCAAGUCAUCAUGGCCCUUACGGCUAGGGCAACACACGUGCUACAAUGGCCAGGACAGUGAGACGCAAUACCGCGAGGUGGAGCAAAUCUAUAAACCUGGUCUCAGUUCGGAUUGUUCUCUGCAACUCGAGAACAUGAAGCUGGAAUCACUAGUAAUCGUAGAUCAGCUAUGCUACGGUGAAUACGUUCCCGGGUCUUGUACUCACCGCCCGUCACACCACGGGAGUUGAUUUCACCCGAAGCGGGGAAGCUAAACUGGCUACCCUCCACGGUGGAAUUAGCGACUGGGGUGAAGUCGUAACAAGGUAACC